CCUACGGAUUGCAGCAGUGGGGAAUAUUGCACAAUGGGCGCAAGCCUGAUGCAGCCAUGCCGCGUGUAUGAAGAAGGCCUUCGGGUUGUAAAGUACUUUCAGCGGAGAGGAAGGUGUAGUGGUUAAUAACCACAACAAUUGACGUUACCCGCAGAAGAAGCACCGGCUAACUCCGUGCCAGCAGCCGCGGUAAUACGGAGGGUGCAAGCGUUAAUCGGAAUUACUGGGCGUAAAGCGCACGCAGGCGGUCUGUCAAGACGGAUGUGAAUCCCCGGGCUCAACCUGGGAACUGCAUUCGAAACUGGCAGGCUAGAGUCUUGUAGAGGGGGGUAGAAUUCCAGGUGUAGCGGUGAAAUGCGUAGAGAUCUGGAGGAAUACCGGUGGCGAAGGCGGCCCCCUGGACAAAGACUGACGCUCAGGCGCGAAAGCGUGGGGAGCAAACAGGAUUAGAUACCCCUGUAGUC
Molecule: ribosomal RNA, 464 nt
Filed under: uncultured bacterium
Lineage: Bacteria
Description: bacterial SSU rRNA
Rfam family: Bacterial small subunit ribosomal RNA
Source: RNAcentral